RNAcentral lists this long non-coding RNA (201 nucleotides) under Elaeis guineensis (African oil palm). RNAcentral describes it as "long non-coding RNA (EGUI_LNC058488)". Lineage: Eukaryota; Viridiplantae; Streptophyta; Magnoliopsida; Arecales; Arecaceae. The record is from RNAcentral.
AGGUCUGAAGGAUACUUAUAUCCAUAUAUUUUGUGAGUAGCUUUUGACAGCAGAACGCUCAGCAGGUGAGUCACUUGUUCAGUGAUGAUGUACUCCUACAUCUUACCUAUAUGCCAUAUCAGUAUCACCACACUCCUUGGUUAAGAGGACAAUCAAUCCAUAUGGCAUACAAUGAUCUUCACUUGAUAAACAUCAUCAUCC